Molecule: ribosomal RNA, 497 nt
Filed under: uncultured bacterium
Lineage: Bacteria
Description: partial 16S ribosomal RNA
Rfam family: Bacterial small subunit ribosomal RNA
Source: RNAcentral
GACGAACGCUGGCGGCGUGCCUAAUACAUGCAAGUAGAACGCUCAAGAGAGGAGCUUGCUCUUCUUGGAUGAGUUGCGAACGGGUGAGUAACGCGUAGGUAACCUGCCUUGUAGCGGGGGAUAACUAUUGGAAACGAUAGCUAAUACCGCAUAACAAUGGAUGACACAUGUCAUUUAUUUGAAAGGGGCAAUUGCUCCACUACAAGAUGGACCUGCGUUGUAUUAGCUAGUAGGUGAGGUAACGGCUCACCUAGGCGACGAUACAUAGCCGACCUGAGAGGGUGAUCGGCCGCACUGGGACGGAGACACGGCACAGACGCCUACGGGAGGCAGCAGUAGGGAAUCUUCGGCAAUGGGGGGAACCCUGAGCGAGCAACGCCGCGUGAGUGAAGAAGGUUGUCGGAUCGGAAAGCUCGGUUGUAAGUCAAGAACGAGUGUGAGAGUGGAAAGUUCACACUGUGACGGUAGCUGACCAGAAAGGGACGGCUAACUACGUG